UCAGCCUUGCACCUGGAGAACUUGCCU
Molecule: non-coding RNA, 27 nt
Filed under: Rattus norvegicus (Norway rat)
Lineage: Eukaryota; Metazoa; Chordata; Mammalia; Rodentia; Muridae
Source: RNAcentral